AGCUCCAAUAGCGUAUAUUUAAGUUGUUGCAGUUAAAAAGCUCGUAGUUGGAUUUCGGGCGUGGCGGGCCGGUCCGCCUUUUAGGUGUGCACUGGCUCGCGGCGCCUUACUGUCGAGGACGCGCAUCUGGCCUUAACUGGCUGGAACGUGGAGUCGGCGCGGUUACCUUGAAAAAAUUAGAGUGUUCAAAGCGGGCUCGCGCUUGAAUAUAUUAGCAUGGGAUAACACCAUAGGACUCCGGGCCUAUUCCGUUGGUCUUCGGGUCGGGAGUAAUGAUUAAGAGGAACGGUUGGGGGCAUUCGUAUUUCGUUGUCAGAGGUGAAAUUCUUGGAUUUACGAAAGACGAACUUCUGCGAAAGCAUUUGCCAAGGAUGUUUUCA
This 380-nucleotide ribosomal RNA is filed under the name uncultured eukaryote. RNAcentral describes it as "SSU rRNA". It matches the Rfam family "Eukaryotic small subunit ribosomal RNA", at positions 587 to 972 of the family's 1831-position model. The record is from RNAcentral.